GAGGUCCAACAGCCGAGCUUAGCCCACCGGGCUCUGGGAAAGACCCGACUGAGGCUAAAGCCGCCCCGGAAGGCCAAGUCCGAGUUCCAUUUCUUGAAGAGGCCGGCGCGCGUAAGGCUGUGACAUUGGCCCUGGCGACUGGCUUCCCAGGAGCUGUUCUUUCUCAGGAGCUCCACAGCGCGGGCCAUCUCCAGAAAACUGUCUUCAGAGUGUAUUUCCUUUUAUCGUCAACCCAGAGCCCCACCGCGGCUAAUGCAAGAGGCCAAAAAAUGUUUGGAGGAAGAAAAACAAAGGCAGGAAGUGGCGGCGGCCUGACGGUGCGUGUGUGUCUGCAGAGAAGGGAGGGAGCCGGCUCAGUCUCUUCUUGUUUUUCCAAACUUCAAGGUCCAGGCAGCCCUCUGCAGGGCCGGGCCCCAUUGCUCCCCGCGCGGCAUUGGAGGUGGCCGCCCGGAGAGGAGAAGGCCAACGCCUGCGCCAGGCUUGUCAGGCGGAAACGGCUAACAAGGAGAUUUGGUCAGCAAAACAGACCCAGCCUUUCCGAGGCUUCGUCUGACUUGGCCCGAAAGGUUGGGGAGGGGGGGCUUGCGCAGAGCCUCAGGGACCCUCCUCUCUGGGGACUACCAUCCCUGAGCCUUACGCUUCUUUCCACAGCCUUUGCAGGCGGAAUAUCGGAAUAAAGUGGGUCCAGGCGCC
Molecule: long non-coding RNA, 693 nt
Filed under: Homo sapiens (human)
Lineage: Eukaryota; Metazoa; Chordata; Mammalia; Primates; Hominidae
Description: non-protein coding HOXA11-AS:10
Rfam family: HOXA11 antisense RNA 1 conserved region 6 (bases 216-394)
Source: RNAcentral